Molecule: unclassified non-coding RNA, 352 nt
Filed under: fungal sp.
Lineage: Eukaryota; Fungi
Description: partial internal transcribed spacer region
Rfam family: Eukaryotic small subunit ribosomal RNA (bases 1-46)
Source: RNAcentral
AAGUUGUAACAAGGUUUCCGUAGGUGAACCUGCGGAGGGAUCAUUAACACGUAUCCAUGGAACGUGGCAAUCCCUGGUAAAUCAUCGCCGAACAGUUUUGAUUCAGGGACUUCUGCAAAGAGUGCUGGUUGUAGCGCGAGGCAAGUGGCCUGGCAUUCCUCUGCUUGUUAGUGUCUGAAAGUGUCACUGGCUCUGUAAGAAUGGCGCAGUCACGAUCGCUAGAGGCCGACACGGCCGGCGACCGGGUCACCGGGCUCACGCCCCCCUAUCACCCCUUUGCAUGAAAACGGGCCUGCGCUUAAUUGUGCGGCCAUAAACCGAACAACUGUUAACAAUGGAUAUCUUGGUUCUC